This 379-nucleotide unclassified non-coding RNA is filed under the name soil metagenome. RNAcentral's name for it is "partial contains 5.8S ribosomal RNA, internal transcribed spacer 2, and large subunit ribosomal RNA". The stretch from base 1 to 120 matches the Rfam family "5.8S ribosomal RNA", at positions 35 to 154 of the family's 154-position model. The record is from RNAcentral.
GAUGAAGAACGUAGCGAAAUGCGAUAAGUAAUGUGAAUUGCAGAAUUCAGUGAAUCAUCGAAUCUUUGAACGCACCUUGCACCCUUUGGCAUUCCGAAGGGUAUGCUCGUUUGAGUGUCAUUGUACUCUCACACUUCCAAUCUUUGGAUUGGGGGCGGUGGACUUGGGUGUUGCUGCUUACUGUGGCUCACCUCAAAUUGAUUCGUGCACCUCUUGGUUGGACAUAGUACGGCGUGAUAAGUGUCUUCGCCGGCACCUCAGUAGAGGGUGGCUGAUCGGGAGCUCUGUGCUUCAAACCGUCCUCGGACAACAACUGACAACUUGACCUCAAAUCGAGUAGGACUACCCACUGAACUUAAGCAUAUCAAUAAGCGGAGGA